CUAAUAAAAAGUAAAAUAAAAAACAAACAAAAAAACGACCCCGAGGAAAUAGUGAAACGGAAAGUCCUUAAUUUAACUGCAAAAUCAAACAAAUGAAUAACAACUGUUAUAUUACGAAUUGGUACAGGCAUUUUCUUAUGUAGAAAAUGUUGGAUUGGACCUGGUUUUAUGGCUAGUCAAACCUUUCACUUCUAUGACAGUUGCAGAAAAUUCCCCGA
RNAcentral lists this long non-coding RNA (218 nucleotides) under Mytilus galloprovincialis (Mediterranean mussel). Lineage: Eukaryota; Metazoa; Mollusca; Bivalvia; Mytilida; Mytilidae. The record is from RNAcentral.